UGGGGAAUAUUGGACAAUGGGCGAAAGCCUGAUCCAGCCAUGCCGCGUGUGUGAAGAAGGUCUUCGGAUUGUAAAGCACUUUAAGUUGGGAGGAAGGGCAGUUACCUAAUACGUGAUUGUUUUGACGUUACCGACAGAAUAAGCACCGGCUAACUCUGUGCCAGCAGCCGCGGUAAUACAGAGGGUGCAAGCGUUAAUCGGAAUUACUGGGCGUAAAGCGCGCGUAGGUGGUUUGUUAAGUUGGAUGUGAAAUCCCCGGGCUCAACCUGGGAACUGCAUUCAAAACUGACUGACUAGAGUAUGGUAGAGGGUGGUGGAAUUUCCUGUGUAGCGGUGAAAUGCGUAGAUAUAGGAAGGAAUACCAGUGGCGAAGGCGACCACCUGGACUAAUACUGACACUGAGGUGCGAAAGCGUGGGGAGCAAACA
RNAcentral lists this ribosomal RNA (427 nucleotides) under Ferribacterium sp. RNAcentral's name for it is "partial 16S ribosomal RNA". It matches the Rfam family "Bacterial small subunit ribosomal RNA", at positions 355 to 774 of the family's 1533-position model. RNAcentral also lists the same sequence under 1 other name. Lineage: Bacteria; Pseudomonadati; Pseudomonadota; Betaproteobacteria; Rhodocyclales; Azonexaceae. The record is from RNAcentral.